CCCAGCUACUCGGGAGGCUGAGGCAAGAGGAUGGCUUGAACUCAGGAGGCAGAGGUUGUGGUGAGCCGAGAUCACAGCACUGCACUCCAGCCUGGGUGACAAGAGCAAGACUCCGUCUCAAAAUAAAUAAAUAAAAAUAAAAAAUAAACAUGAUGAUCACAGAUGCAGUCACAUUUUCUGAGUUCUUGUCUCUCUGCCAGUGCCACCCAGAUAGCCUCACAAAACUUUGACCCAGCCACUGUUAGUGUCGCCACCGCCCAUAAAGGAGCUGAGCCCAGCAGGGGCACUGCCUGGGGCCCUGUAGCCAAAAGGCUACAGCAGGAGCUGAUGACCCUCAUGAUGCCUGGUGACAAAAGAAUUUCUGCCUACCCUGAAAGCCUUAUCAAAUGGACACCAUCCAUGAAGCAGCUGGCACAGUGUAUGAAGAUCUGAGGUAUAAGCUCUUGCUGGAGUUCCUCAAUGACUACCCACCUUUACGAUGCACCCACAGUGAAGUUCCUCACACCCUGCUACCACCCUAACGUGGACACCCAGGGUAACAUAUGCCUGGACAUCCUGAAGGAGAAGUGGUCUGCCCCGUAUGAUAUCAGGACCAUCCUGCUCUCUAUCCAGUGCCUGCUAGGACAACUCAACAUUGAUAGCCCUUUGAACACACAUGCUACCAAGCUCUGGGAAAACCCCAUAGCUUUAAGAAGUACCUGCAAGGGUCAGGCGCAGUGGCUCACACCUGUAAUCCCAGCACUUUGGGAGGCCGAGGUGGGUGGAUGGAUCACCUGACGUAGAGAGUCCAAGGCCUGACAAACAUGGAGAAAUGUCAUCCCUAUUUAAAAAAAUAAAAAAAUUAGCCAAGUGUGGUGGCGCAUGCCUGUAAUCCCAGCUACUCGGGAGGCUGAGGCAGGAGAAUCACUUGAACCUGGGAGGUGGAGGUUGCAGUGAGCCGAGAUCUCGCUAUUGCACUCCAGCCUGGGCAACAAGAGUGAAACUCUGCCUCAAAAAAAAAUAAAAUAAAAUAAAAAUAAAAAUAAGGAAGUACCUGCAAGAAAGCUACUCAAAGUAGGUCACCAGCCAGGAGCUCUGACCCAGGCUGCCCAGCCUAUCCUUGUGUUGUCUUUUUAAUUUUCCCUUAGAUGGUCUGCCCUUUCCGUGAUUUCUGUGUAGAACUCUGUAUCUUGAGCUGUGGUACUAUUUUUCUUUUGUCUUUUAAUUUAAACCUUGGUGGAGCCCUUGUGAUGAAUAUUAAAUACAUACAUUU
This is an RNA transcript of Homo sapiens (human), 1252 nucleotides long. It is a transcript of the gene named ubiquitin conjugating enzyme E2 C pseudogene 5, with no coding region annotated. Lineage: Eukaryota; Metazoa; Chordata; Mammalia; Primates; Hominidae. The transcript has a single exon. The record is from RefSeq and is marked validated.